CAUUGAGUCCCUAGAACUAAUUAGGUUCAAACCCAUUGCUUUAACUGUAUUUGUGCCAUUUUCUUCAGCCUGAAUUUCUGCUUGCUAGCACAGCUCAGUAACCCUGGAAUGUGACAAUUUCCAGGCUUCUUUGGAGCAAAAAAAAGUUUAUAAAUUUUCAAAAUCUACCAUCACAUUUAUUUCAGGAUUUCUAGAGGAUAAACAACCUCUCUGAAGCCUUCAAGACAGUAUGUCUGAGUGCACCACAACCUAAAAUCUAUCAUAAGUAAUCCAUUGCUCAGGAUUUUCAGAGCCAUCUGCUCCUGCUAAUAUCCCAUUGAAAAUGAAGAAUAUAUUCAGCUGCUUCUUCUAUACACAUAAAUUAAAAUCCAUGCAGUGGAUCCCAGAAAUAAGUAACAUCUUUAAACAGACAACACAACACACACCAGUCGGCAAGAGCUGAUUUCUUUUGUUUCCAUUUGUGGAGCAGCCAAAUUAUACACUGCAGUUUGAACAAAUCUAUUCAUAUGAUUUCAUCAAAGAUCUUCAUUUGUGGUGCUGAUCCCCUGGAGGGACAUCCCUGUGCAUCACACUUUCUUUUCAGGGCAGAAAAGGAAAACUAUGACCUAAGAACUCUGAGAAACAAAUGGAAAAGAAUGAAAAGUCUGAUCUUGUGACUCCAUUCUGGUUCUUCAUCCAGCACUGCUGGAGGAAUUACAUAGAAAGAGACAAAGUUUCUGCUGUUGCUGAGCUCCAUAGAAGGAACAACAGUAUCACUGAGAAGAUAAAGGAAUAAUCUCCUUCAGCUUAUGCCACAGGGGAUCAGAUGUAGUUCUCCCACAGUAUAGGUGUGCAGGAAGAGAAACCAAGUCUCCAGUGGCACUGACGCUCCGUAAUGGACUGACCACCUGUGGUCAGGUGUGGACUAAAUGGAGCUACAUCUUAUGUUGCUAACAAUACAAAAGUGAAAGAAAAGGUAUUUACUAAGCUGUAUCAAGAAAGAGAGUCAGAAUGUGGACGGCACUGUGCACUGGAAAUUUUGAGUUCUUUGAUUCUGUUAUACUCUAAAGGAGCUAUCAUGCAUAAGGCAAAUGUACUCUCCAGAGCUAGCUAAAAAAAAAAAAGAACAAUGAUGCAUAUUUCUUCUUUUUUGGAUUCUAAAUUUGAAAACUACUUUGACACUUACUGCUUAUUCAUUUUGAAGUGCCAUAAACACUGAAAUAAAAUUUACACUUAUUAUAAACUGCUUGUUCAUAACUGCUUGUUUCUCCAAGACCUCUGCAUCAUAAGUGCAAAGAAGUCCAAAGUCCCUGAUAAUCACAAUGACUCGAUCUGGAUUUUGUAUGUUCUAUAUUUUGAGAUUAAAUCUUGCUUAAUGUCUGACUUUCAGGAAGCAAAAACAAGUAUGAAUUACACAGAAUUAAUUAAUUACUUUCUGUAUGCAUGUAUUUGAAAAAAAAAAUGCAUAUCUGGGAAAUAAAAUUGAUAUAACUUUUCAUUUCAUUUGAAAUGUAGUAGCAUUAUUGCUGUUCAUUACACUGUGUGUCAGCAACUUGGAAAGUCAGUAUGACCAAAUGAAAAUAUAGCAACGUGCGCUACAGCUUUAUUCCACCAAAAUUAUUGGCUCUGAACAUGUACCUCUAGACUUGUAAUUCUGGUAGUUUAUAGGAUUUUCACUUAAUUUCCCUGGGGACGUGUCUCUAAAUGGCUAAGUCAAGUGGGAAAGUUAAAGAAUACAAAAUAUACCAAAGACUAAUGUUUCAUUUACAGCAAGAGUGGCAAAGUAGGAAUGGUUAUCAAGAAUAAAUAAAUAAGAAAGAUCUGGAAACAUUUGAAUGACCUCGUUAUUGGAAAUACUGCAUAUAUAUCUUGGUCCUGCAUUAUUAUUGCAUGCAGGAUUUUCCCUUACACGCGCCUGAUGAACUGCCACUUGUGCUUUUUCUAGCAGCACGAAGGAGUAAACACUGGUCAGCAUACUUACAGCUGUACUGGGGCCUAAUAGAAAAGAGGAAAAUUGCACCAGUAAAGAAACCCACAGCUUUCCCUGCCACACCCCACUGCUCACCUCAGCAACUCCCCAGCAGGCAUGAGUUUCCUUUUCUUGUGACAGCUAGCCCAGAACUCUCCCUUCCAGCCUUAGGACCCUGGGAAGUUACUGUGUCACCUGCUGAAGGCUGGCUUUUAUACAAAGGGCCAGUGUUACAGCCCUC
Numida meleagris (helmeted guineafowl) is the source of this 2189-nucleotide long non-coding RNA. RefSeq lists it as uncharacterized. The transcript is spliced from 4 exons. The record is from RefSeq and is a predicted model, not a curated record. Lineage: Eukaryota; Metazoa; Chordata; Aves; Galliformes; Numididae.